This 497-nucleotide ribosomal RNA is filed under the name uncultured bacterium. Its description in RNAcentral is "bacterial SSU rRNA". It matches the Rfam family "Bacterial small subunit ribosomal RNA", at positions 791 to 1286 of the family's 1533-position model. The record is from RNAcentral.
UAGUCCACGCCGUAAACGAUGAAUACUAGGUGCAGCGGGUAUCGACCCCUGCUGUGCCGUAGCUAACGCGUUAAGUAUUCCGCCUGGGGAGUACGGCCGCAAGGCUAAAACUCAAAGAAAUUGACGGGGGCCCGCACAAGCGGUGGAGCAUGUGGUUUAAUUCGAUGCAACGCGCAGAACCUCACCUGGGCUUGAAAUCCUCGGACAACCUUAGAGAUAAGGCUUUCUUCUUCGGAAGACCGAGUGACAGGUGCUGCAUGGCUGUCGUCAGCUCGUGUCGUGAGAUGUCAGGUUAAGUCCUAUAACGAGCGCAACCCUUGUCGCUAGUUGCCAUCAUUAAGUUGGGCACUCUAGUGAGACUGCCGGUGUCAAACCGGAGGAAGGUGGGGAUGACGUCAAGUCCUCAUGGCCCUUAUGUCCAGGGCUACACACGUGCUACAAUGGCCGGUACAAAGAGCAGCCAACUCGCGAGAGUGCGCAAAUCUCAAAAAGCCGGU